AACGAACGCUGGCGGCGUGGUUGAUACAUGCAAGUCGAACGGGAAACAGUCCUUCGGGGCUGGAGUACAGUGGCGGACGGGUGAGUAACGUAUGAUCAAUCUGCCCUAAAGACUAGGAUAGCCGUCCGAAAGGACGGGUAAUACUGGAUAAGCCCACGGUUAGGCAUCUAAUAGUGGGAAAAGGAUUGGGAUCUUCGGACCUUUCGCUUUAGGAUGAGAUCAUAACCUAUCAGUUAGUUGGCGGGGUAACGGCCCACCAAGACGACGACGGGUAGCCGGCCUGAGAGGGUGGACGGCCACACUGGAACUGAGACACGGUCCAGACUCCUACGGGAGGCAGCAGUGCUGAAUUAUUCGCCAAUGCGCGAAAGCGUGACGGUGCGACGCCGCGUGCGGGACGAAGGCCUUCGGGUUGUAAACCGCUGUCAGGGAUUAGAAAACCUAUAUGGUUAAUAGCCAUGUAGCUGAUCAGUCCCAAAGGAAGCACAGGCUAAUCUCGUGCCAGCCGCCGCGUAAAC
Molecule: ribosomal RNA, 518 nt
Filed under: uncultured bacterium
Lineage: Bacteria
Description: bacterial SSU rRNA
Rfam family: Bacterial small subunit ribosomal RNA
Source: RNAcentral